GCCGGGCGAGGUGGUGCAUGCCUGUAAUCCCAGUGGCUCAGGAGGCUGAGGCAGGAGGAUCAUGAGUUCAAAGCCAGCCUCAGCAAUGGCGAGGUACUAAGCAACUCAGUGAGACCCUGUCUCUA
RNAcentral lists this small RNA (125 nucleotides) under Marmota monax (woodchuck). The record is from RNAcentral. Lineage: Eukaryota; Metazoa; Chordata; Mammalia; Rodentia; Sciuridae.